RNAcentral lists this long non-coding RNA (397 nucleotides) under Musa acuminata (dwarf banana). RNAcentral's name for it is "long non-coding RNA (MACU_LNC003524)". The record is from RNAcentral. Lineage: Eukaryota; Viridiplantae; Streptophyta; Magnoliopsida; Zingiberales; Musaceae.
CUGUUGAUGUUGGGAGUAGAUAAAUGAGUGCGCAAAUGUAAGUUAUUGGAGUGGGGGAUGAGCUGUUCAAGAGGUGGAAAUGAAGAGGAGCGCAGGUGCAUGUGGUAGUCGUAGAAUCGCAUCAUGCCUUCCCAUGUGCACAGUUUGCCUUGCUGCUGCAUGAUGCCCUCCUCAAAUGUGCUUUUCUUGCCCAAGAAAUGCGUCUCUCACAUGCACCACGCCUUGGAUCUCUGUCUGUUUCUUCAUUCUUCUUCUUCUUCUUCUUCCAUUUCCGCUCUAUUCUCCCACUCAUCUCGGUGGGUUUCUUGGCAACUUCGGGCUAUCUUGUUGGCCAUCUACGGCUGUUCUCGGGAUUAACAGUGUUUUGCGCUGUCGUGGGAGAGUGGUUGUGGUGUGC